AGAUUGGGUACAGUUUUGGCUUGAAUGUUCAUGAACUUGUAUGAGUUAAUGUUUCUAUCAUGCCUGCAAUUGGAGAUUUAUGAAUAUUUGGUUUUGGUUUUACAUAUUUAUGCAUUGUGGUUUUCUACCCCUCGAGGUAGUUGGUUUUCAAAAUGGAGUUUCCGAGUGAGAAACAGUUUUAAGAAAGGUUUUCGAAUGGUUUUAUAAAUGAUCAAUAGAGUUUAAAAGCAAAGCUUCUAGUGGGAAGUACUUUUAAAUAGGAUGAUUGUUGUAUUGUGCAUCGCAUCAUCCAGCACCUAAGGAGUGUUUAGAGGCAUGCAUCAUCUCUAAGGAUCGCUAGUUGUAUGUAAAUGCAUUGCAUGAAUUGCUUGUGGAUUGUUAAAUGUAGGUUGUUGUUGUGAUCCUCAUAUUGUCAUUGGUACGCUGUGCAAAUAUAAAGAAGACUCUGUCCGUAUGGUCAGAUGAACUUUAUAUUUGUGGCGGAUCAGUACGUCACCAGUGCCAGGUUGAAAAAAAAAUGCACGUUUUCUGCAACUCCGAUUUCAAAAAUUGUAUUUGUUAUAAAAAGGCUUUUAAAAUUGACCCCGAAGCAUGACACUUCUACUUCUUCAAAACAUUCCCAAACCUUGGAAAAAAAAAUUAUGACUUCUCUUCCUUC
RNAcentral lists this long non-coding RNA (658 nucleotides) under Ananas comosus (pineapple). Its description in RNAcentral is "long non-coding RNA (ACOM_LNC014909)". Lineage: Eukaryota; Viridiplantae; Streptophyta; Magnoliopsida; Poales; Bromeliaceae. The record is from RNAcentral.